This is a long non-coding RNA of Acanthochromis polyacanthus (spiny chromis), 3218 nucleotides long. RefSeq lists it as uncharacterized. Lineage: Eukaryota; Metazoa; Chordata; Actinopteri; Pomacentridae. The record is from RefSeq and is a predicted model, not a curated record. The transcript is spliced from 10 exons.
GCCAAACAGCAUCAUCUGUACAGACGCGCUUGUUUAAAAUGAGACGAGCGUCUUUCCGGUUUGGCUACAAGAAAUGCUACGACGAGCAAGAAAGCAAACAUGGAGGCGUUAAACUGGAAACCAGCACGUGUUUCAGUGGAAUUAAAGACCCGAAUAAGAAAUAAUGGCGGAUGAUACCGCGUCGAUGAACCACCUGGUGAUCUGAUACGUGAACACGAGCAUCUGCAAGUGAAAGAAUGUCAUGCUGUGGCGUUUCACAAGCUUCCCUCUAGACUCUCUCAAACUGCAUUUUCAGCUCUAUUAUCUGAAGCCUGGAGAUGGGGGCGUUUGUUCUGCAGGAUGUAUGAGCCAUUGUGAACAUGACAACCAAAAUGCUUGCUUUCAGCGAGUGGAAAGACUAACAUCUGAGACCCGGCAGCCUCGUGCCCAGAAAACCAUGCCAGCCCCACAGCAGCUGCUGGUACAGUCGCAGGUCACGACGAAGUUCAGCUGGAACAUUCACCUGUUGGAUGUAUUGCCUGUCAUUGAUCCCUGAGCUGCUGCAGAAUGACCUGAAAUGGCCUUAAGUAAUGCUGGAAGACACAUUUCCAGCAAACUGACCUGCCCCUAGGUACCUGAACACCUGCAUGCUGCUUCCUACACAGUGGGCAGUAAGACAAGGUGUUGGACCAGGUGAGUGUCAGAUGUGAUGAGAACAACAUGAACAACCUUGGGAAGACAAGAUGUUGAAGCUCUACAGCUGUGUUGAGUGUACUGCUGGUGAAUCCCGACACAAACAGCAGCAGUGGGAGCCCUGCGCUCGGGUGGGUUGCCACCUCACGGUGCCUUUCAUGCCACACCGGUGACCUGGGAAGCAUCCAACCACAUCAUCCUCCUCUGCGCCAGCCUCUGAAGGUUUCACGCUGAUUGAAGUCAAGCCACGAUCCCGGCACGUCCAACCCUUGCUGCUCAGUGGGAGUGUAAAACACACUGAGGGUGUCCCACCGGUUCAAGUGGGAGACUGGGUGUUCGUGAAAUCCAUUAAGAGGAAACACUGGUCCUCACCAUGGUGGGAAGGGCCCUACCAGGUGCUGCUGAUGACACCCACAGCCAUAAAGAGAGCAGAGUGAGCUUCAUGGAUUCACCUGUCGCACUGCAAGAAACAGAGGUUCUUGGAGGAAAACUCCAACAACAGUGAGGGGAAGUCUGACUACAAAGGGGGUUAAACCUUCUAGUGGUUCACCGUCUCAAAGUCAGUGAAGAAACCAACAGAUCUUCACUGUUUUUAGGGAGCAGAGUACUCUGGGAUCCUCAUACAUGCAUCCACACACUCGCUGGACAAAGAACAGGACAAGCACACUGUUAGUUGUCAAAUAGGAGGUGAAGUGCUGGUAACCUCUCCCUCCAGAAGAUAGGUCAUGACUCAACGUGUCAAGACUACGGCCCUGGUGUUUUUGAACUUUCAUUUCAUGUUUGUUGAUGACAAAAGAAAUUCACAGAGGAAAAAGAAACCAAGAACUCGAUGUUGAUGAUUACCAUGAUAAUAUCUGGUUCCAGAUGGCUAAUUUAACUGCAACAAGUUUGAAUAUGUCUGACUGCUAUUUGUGCUCAUUCAUACCUCGUCAUUCACGGACCAAUCCUUGCUUAACACCAAAACUAGUUACACUAAACAAAAUCAUGUGUAUCAUUGCAAUGCACAUGGCACUCACAACAACCCCAGCCUUUGCAAAAUUCACUUAGUAUUUACCAAACUGCACUGCUACCAGUAACUAUGACUUGACAAGCAGGAGAAUGCCUCAACAUUUUAGUAUAACUACUAAUAACACGAACCUGCAGGGAAUCACGACGGCACACUAUCCUAACACACCAUCACUGUGUCGUAGGAGGAGCCGUGCUGAGGGAGAAAUGGACCUAGGCGUGACAGACUGUAUGACUUACUUUCCUGUGGAAGGUGUUUGGAGCCAUCCCUGUGCAGCGGUUCUCGGUGUGAGGAAGGUUGGGCAAAACCAAUCAACUUCACUGCCGUAGAAAUCCGUGGCAAUGUGGUGGGAUGGGUGUCUGAACCUGUUAUGAAUACACUGCUUCCACAUGCGGGAGGGUUCCCCUGCCCGACUGACCAUGUUUGGGUUUGCGGCCAUAAGGUAUACUUAUAUCUCCCUCAGAGAUGGGAUGAAGCGUGCUCCUUGGCUAAACUACAGCCUGCUGCUCUUGUGAUUCCCAAAUCAGAUGUUACCACUAUUCUUAGUGCAACAACAAGACAAAGGAAACGUUCUGACCCUUCCACUACUAGAUCUCCACCACUAGUCUCAGAUGUUAGAGGUUUCUUUCACAUUUUUUCCCAUGUACCGAACAGCAUCUCUAGGACACAGGAUGAACGAUAUGCACUUUGAACUUGCCUAAAAUUCAACUAAAAAUUUGCACACCCACUCUCAUAAUAAUGCUGUUACUCUUCAUAUUCACUUGUUGCAUCAUUCGAUUUUUCAGAGCACUCAUGAGUAAGACAAUAAACAGGACUGUGUCCAAGGUAAUGUUGAGUGAUGAAUUCAGAGCACUUAUGGUAGACACAUUCAUUUGAUGAAGACGAUUUUGUGUAAACUACUGUUGAUUGAAAUCCACCGCUGAGUGUAAGUUGAUGAAGUUGUUGUGAACAUGACCAUUUUGCAGGAAACCUCACAAGGGGGAUGUAAUGAUGUGAUUACGAGACGUUGACAUUCAUCAUUGAUAAACAGGGGGAAAUGUUAGAAGAAUUAUGUUUGGAAUACUUAUAGUACUUAUGUUAGAAGAAAUAGACUUAGGAUAUUUAGAACAGAAUACUUGCUUUUAGAUUAUCAUUAAUUUAUCAUUAAUUUAUCAUUGAGUGACUGUGAAACAUAUGUGCCUUUUGAACCAUGACUCUGUAUGUAUUUUAAACCAUGAUUCUACGUGUACUUUAUGAAAGAAACAUGUAGACACAGCACAUACUGAGAGGCGACCAGAACUAGGCCUUCUAGAUAACAAGGCAAGCAGACGCAAAUACCACAUGUCUGCCUCUAAAGGUCUUUCUGUUAAUAUCUUACUGCUCCUGAAGAAGGUUUUUCCCAUUGUCAUCUCAUGCUGAGUCAUGGUACCACCCUCUAUGUUCCAUUCCUGUCUGAAGCAAAUAAAAAGACGCAGAGGAGACACAGGCUCUUUGGAGUUGGGUGGCUGAUGCUAUGGUUUGUACAGCCUGUCUCUCUCCACUUGCGGCAAGAAAAAUACAA